This is an RNA transcript of Magnolia sinica, 1686 nucleotides long. It is a transcript of the gene named vacuolar protein sorting-associated protein 52 A-like, with no coding region annotated. Lineage: Eukaryota; Viridiplantae; Streptophyta; Magnoliopsida; Magnoliales; Magnoliaceae. The record is from RefSeq and is a predicted model, not a curated record. The transcript has 6 exons.
AAAAAACACCGUGAAUCCCGGCAAUGCUAUUCCAAGCCAAUCUCAGCCGUUCAUCUCUCCUCCGCUCUCACUUCUCUUCCUUUACCUUCCCAGAAACGCCAUCAUCUCUCUCCGCCCCAACACCACCAUGGUUCGCCAUCCUACGCACCGCCAUCUCGUCCAAAUCCCUCCGCCUCGGACAAUGCACACACGCUCGCAUUAUAGCAUCCGGCCUCUCUCACGACCGCUUCCUCACCAACAACCUCAUCAACAUGUAUUGCAAAUGCGGGUCUCUAACCUCCGCACGCCACCUGUUCGACAAAAUUCCCGACCGAGAUCUCGUUACAUGGAACUCGAUCCUCGCAGGCUAUGCUCUCUCCCCCGACACAGCCCAGCAAGGCCUUCUCCUUUUCCGCCUUCUGCGCAGAUCCGCAGUCUCCCCCAGCCGGCUCACGUUAGCUCCAGUCCUUAAGAUAUGCUUGCACUCGGGUUUACUCGAUACGUCAGAAACUGUCCAUUCUUAUGCUGUGAAGAUUGGUUUGGAUUGUGACGUCUUCGUCUCGGCUGCUCUUGUCAAUAUAUACUCGAAAUUCGGACGGAUUGAGGACGCUCGCUACCUGUUUGAUGAAAUGUCUGAGAGAGAUGUUGUGUUGUGGAACAUAAUGAUUAAGGCGUACUCACAAUUGGGUCUCGAGAAUGAAGCUGUUUCUCUGUUCUCAGCAUUGCACCGGUGUGGGCUGGGCCCGGAUGAUGUUAGUGUUCAGUCCAUCCUUAGCAGGGUUUCUGAGAAGGAGAAUGUCGAGCAGGUUCGGGCGUAUGCGAUUAAGGCAUGUUUGUUUGAAGAGAACUCGGACAUAAUUGGCUGGAAUAAAGCCAUGACCGGGUUUUUACAAGGCGGCGAUAAUGAGGCUGUGAUCGAAUGCUUUAUGGAGAUUAUGAGAUUCAAUGUAGGAUAUGACAAAGUGACGUUUGUGAUUGUUCUCAGUGCAAUUGCAGGUGCUAGUGAUUUGAAAGCUGGGGAGCAGAUCCAUAGUGUGGUUGUAAAAACCGGGUUAAGUUUGGAUGUUGCUGUCAUGAAUAAUCUCAUCAACAUGUAUGUGAAGACCGGCUGUUUGGAUUAUGCAAGGAAGGUGUUUGACGAGAUGGAAGAAUUGGAUCUGAUUUCAUGGAAUUCAAUGAUAUCAGGUUAUGUGCAAAGUGGUUUGGUGGAAGAAUCCGUUGCCCUUUUCUUGGGUCUUUUGCGCGACGGUGCAAUCCCGGAUCAGUUUACACUGGCAAGCAUUCUUCGGGCCUCUUCAGCUCUUGCCAGAGGCUCCAUUUUGGGAAAUUGAACAACCUGCAUUGAUUCCACAUAUAGCUGAGGCUAGCUCUCUGAAGUACCCUUAUGAAGUUCUCUUUGGGAGCUUGCAUAAGCUUCUAAUGGAUACUGCUACUUCAGAAUAUCUUUUCUGUGAUGAUUUCUUUGGGGAAGAAUCUAUUUUCUACGAAAUAUUUGCAGCAUUUCUUUCAAGGUGGGGUGGGUUGUAGUUACCUCCGGACAACAAAGCUGUGUUAUAGAAUUGAGGACCAUUUGCGGUUAUUGUUGAACAUUUCAAUUCAAUUCUUCCAAAUUUUUACGAUGCAAUAGGUUCAAUGCUUAUGAUCCGCAUAAUACACCAACAUCAGUUAAUUAUGUCUCGACGGAGGAUUCCAUGCUUGGAUUCGUAC